This is a long non-coding RNA of Thalassophryne amazonica, 360 nucleotides long. RefSeq lists it as uncharacterized. The transcript is spliced from 3 exons. The record is from RefSeq and is a predicted model, not a curated record. Lineage: Eukaryota; Metazoa; Chordata; Actinopteri; Batrachoidiformes; Batrachoididae.
AACUUUUACAAAACAUCAGAAUAGAUCCAGCCUGGAUCAGAUUUGGGGGGGAGUUCCUAGCAACAAUUUUGCCAGUCAUGUCUGAAAUCGCUCUCCUCCACACCGUACGAAUGUCAGUUAUCUGUCCAAGGCUAAACCCUUGAGGAAAGACGUCUGGCCUUAUCUUAUUGCCUGAUGAGAGCUGUCUUCUUUUCACAAGAAAAACACCCAGAAUUAAACAAACAGUCUCAUUAGAAUUUAAGAAUGAACACAAAUAUGCAACAUUUCCCAUUAUGAUAAUAAUGAAAAUUAAUAAAACACAAGACCUUUUCCAACAAUGCUCGAUUGUGACCAAAAGCUAAACUUUAAGUUUAAUGUCCU